RNAcentral lists this ribosomal RNA (514 nucleotides) under uncultured bacterium. RNAcentral's name for it is "bacterial SSU rRNA". It matches the Rfam family "Bacterial small subunit ribosomal RNA", at positions 28 to 525 of the family's 1533-position model. The record is from RNAcentral.
GACGAACGCUGGCGGCGUGCCUAAUACAUGCAAGUCGAGCGGACCAAAGGGAGCUUGCUCCUGGAGGUCAGCGGCGAACGGGUGAGUAACACGUGGGCAACCUGCCUGUAAGACUGGGAUAACAUCGAGAAAUCGGUGCUAAUACCGGAUAAUAAAAAGAACUGCAUGGUUCUUUUUUGAAAGAUGGUUUCGGCUAUCACUUACAGAUGGGCCCGCGGCGCAUUAGCUAGUUGGUGAGGUAACGGCUCACCAAGGCAACGAUGCGUAGCCGACCUGAGAGGGUGAUCGGCCACACUGGGACUGAGACACGGCCCAGACUCCUACGGGAGGCAGCAGUAGGGAAUCUUCCGCAAUGGACGAAAGUCUGACGGAGCAACGCCGCGUGAGUGAUGAAGGUUUUCGGAUCGUAAAACUCUGUUGUUAGGGAAGAACAAGUGCCGUUCGAAAGGGCGGCACCUUGACGGUACCUAACGAGAAAGCCACGGCUAACUACGUGCCAGCAGCCGCGGUAAAG